RNAcentral lists this long non-coding RNA (275 nucleotides) under Elaeis guineensis (African oil palm). Its description in RNAcentral is "long non-coding RNA (EGUI_LNC016861)". Lineage: Eukaryota; Viridiplantae; Streptophyta; Magnoliopsida; Arecales; Arecaceae. The record is from RNAcentral.
CUCAGUGAGAUAAGAUUCCAUCUGAAAUUGGAUAUAUAUCAGAUCUCAUCCAAUCUCCUCAUUGCACCAUCAUAUAUCCUCCAACUGACCGUUCUGAUGCCUUUGAUCACAUAGCUCGAUCCAUUCAGUAGAUGAACGGUGCCCUCACUACUCUACAAGGAGUCAAACAGCUCCUCUCUACAACAUACAUAUUGGAUGCAUACAGAAUCUAAAAUUUACUAUUGGAAAGAAGUAGAUACCUCAUCAGAUAUCACUAAAAUAUCAUUCUCUGAUUC